GUUAAAAUCGUUCUAAUUCCAGCAAGGCUUAGCCUCCCUGUCAACACUAGAAUGGUUUUUAGGCUCUUUGCCCUCUUUUCAAUUGCCAGUCUGAAAAGAUCAUCGUUUUUUUGGAGGACUUCAGAAAGUAGGCACCUAUAUUUAUUUCUUCUGCUCUGAAAUCUGAGGUAGAAGAGCAUGAUCGUAUGACUUUUCUAAGGACUCCACUCACUUUAAUGUGUCUGGUAAGAGGAAUGUCAGUAUGUGAAGGAAACACAAAGUAAAUGUAUUUUAUGACACCAGUAAGCUAUAUUUUUGGAUUCAUGGCAGAAUAUCAAAGCAUGCUUUCACAACCUAUUUUAUUUUUCCCUGUAUAUCUUUCUCAGCAAGAAGAUUGCAACCUUGCGGUACAUAUAUAAACAACUAAAACAAAGGUCUACAGUGAAUCUUUAACAAGUGCCUAGAUCUGAUUUCACAGUCAAGGUAUGGAUAAUUUUGUGGCCUUUCAAAGGCUGAAUAUAGAAAGUACAAUGUGAAAAAAAUGAGUGCCGUUAUGCUGCAACAUUAAUUGGUGAAUGUGUCACCAAUGCAACCUUGAGUUUUCAUUAUGUUGUUAAAAACCAGACUCAGAGAAGCACUCUGGAAAUCAAAGUGACAGUGUGUGAGAUAUCCUGCACCAAUGAGGAAAGCUGACAGACGAGUGGGCCAGUACGAUCCCAUCUUGCUGGUAUCCAUUGAUGUGUGCCUGGUUACCACAGUGAUCAGGCACUGGAAAGGGCUGCCCAAGGAGGUGGCUGAGUCACUAUCAACCUGGAGGUGUUCAAGAAAUGUUUAGAUGUUGAACUGAGGGAUAUGGUGUGGUGGAGAAAUUUUGGUGGUAGGUGUAUGAUUGGACUGGAUGAUCUUGGAGGCCUUUUCCAACCUUUUUCUUUGACUCUAGGAUUUUAUAUGAAUAGACUCCAGUGGGAUGGAUGGCCUUUUACUUGCAUAUAUUUCUUCGCCUCUUCAGUUGCCCCUCAGCAAUAAUAUUUGGAUUGUUACAGAACACUGAUUCUUCUGCAACCUUUAGGUAUCCCCACAAUUACCAGCAUUGCAGCAACCACUAUUGCUGCAUUAUCUCCAUUCCACACUCUCUUCUUUCCCAUUCUAAAGACAUUGCAAGAAGACAUUUAAAUGUGCCUCUUGUCCACUGAGCCAAGAAGUUAGCAGACUGUGCAGCACAGCAGAACCCUUCCAUAUCACGCAGGACAUAGUUCAAUGAUGGCAUUGAGUAAGCAGGUGAGGAGAUUGGGGUCAGCUCUUACUGGAUUUGGUGGUGGAGGCAGGAGCUGUUGUUGUUGGAAGUAAGCACAUGAUUAGCAAGAUGUGGAAAUAGCUCCAUGUAGAAACAGAGGGAUUUCCAAAACUGAUGGGGCACUAUUGCAUUCAAGCCAGCACUAGUGUAAUACGGAUGGAAAGCAGCUGGCCUUUCUGGGUACUGGCAUGAGCUGCAGAUCACGAGGUUCCCCUCUUACAUAAGCAGGCCUACUGUAACACACACGGCUUGUUUCAGAGGAGCUCUAAAUAGCUGGGCUGGAAUAGCUCCCAUGUCACUCUGGGUUACUGCUGACACAUGAUAAAGUUACACUGGGAUAAAAAUGCCAUGGUAAAUCAGAUUGGAGCACCCUAAUGACUUUUGCAUGUUUGCUUAAAGCCAGGUUGUGACUGGUUCUACAGAAAAGCAGAGUGUAAUAAAGUCUUCCUUCAUCUUUCUCUGCA
This is a long non-coding RNA of Phasianus colchicus (ring-necked pheasant), 1737 nucleotides long. The record is from Ensembl. NCBI's taxonomy places the organism in Eukaryota, Metazoa, Chordata, Aves, Galliformes, Phasianidae.